RNAcentral lists this non-coding RNA (148 nucleotides) under Homo sapiens (human). The record is from Rfam by way of RNAcentral. Lineage: Eukaryota; Metazoa; Chordata; Mammalia; Primates; Hominidae.
GCUGGGCGUGGUGGCGGGCGCCUGUAAUCUCAGCUACUCAGGAGGCUGAGGCAGGAGAAUUGCUUGAACCCGGGAAGUGGAGGUUGCAGUGAGCUGAGAUCGUGCCACUGCACUCCAGCCUGGGCGACAGAGCAAGACUCUGUCUCAA